Candidatus Coatesbacteria bacterium 4484_99 is the source of this 72-nucleotide non-coding RNA. The record is from Rfam. NCBI's taxonomy places the organism in Bacteria, Candidatus Coatesiibacteriota.
UGGGGCGUAGGCAAGUGGUAAGCCACGGGACUUUGGAUCCUGUAUUCGGGGGUUCGAAUCCUCCCGCCCCAG